RNAcentral lists this ribosomal RNA (254 nucleotides) under uncultured bacterium. RNAcentral's name for it is "partial 16S ribosomal RNA". It matches the Rfam family "Bacterial small subunit ribosomal RNA", at positions 524 to 776 of the family's 1533-position model. The record is from RNAcentral.
UACAGAGGGUGCGAGCGUUGUUCGGAAUCAUUGGGCGUAAAGCGCUUGUAGGCGGCCUGCCAAGUCGCGUGUGAAAUCCCCUGGCUCAACCAGGGAAGUGCGCGCGAAACUGGCGGGCUUGGAGUGCCGGAGAGGGUCGCGGAAUUCCCGGUGUAGAGGUGAAAUUCGUAGAUAUCGUAAGGAAGACCAGUGGCGAAGGCGGGUCUCUGGACAGUUCCUGACGCUGAAGCACGAAGGCCAGGGGAGCAAACGGG